RNAcentral lists this ribosomal RNA (292 nucleotides) under uncultured bacterium. RNAcentral describes it as "partial 16S ribosomal RNA". It matches the Rfam family "Bacterial small subunit ribosomal RNA", at positions 505 to 796 of the family's 1533-position model. The record is from RNAcentral.
GUGCCAGCAGCCGCGGUAAGACAGAGGGUGCAAACGUUGUUCGGAAUUACUGGGCGUAAAGCGUGUGUAGGCGGUCCUGUAAGUCGGAUGUGAAAGCCCCGGGCUCAACCCGGGAAGUGCACUCGAAACUGCGGGACUAGAGUAUCGGAGAGGUUGGUGGAAUUCUCGGUGUAGAGGUGAAAUUCGUAGAUAUCGAGAGGAACACCGGCGGCGAAGGCGGCCAACUGGACGAAUACUGACGCUGAGACACGAAAGCGUGGGGAGCAAACAGGAUUAGAUACCCUAGUAGUCC